RNAcentral lists this long non-coding RNA (1949 nucleotides) under Homo sapiens (human). RNAcentral describes it as "HSALNT0365711". Lineage: Eukaryota; Metazoa; Chordata; Mammalia; Primates; Hominidae. The record is from RNAcentral.
GGGAGCAAAUGUGGAGGCAGAAAAGCUACUGCAGAGGUGAUAACAUUAGCUAAAAGAUCACAGUAUCUGGGGAAAGGGUGGUUGCGGUAGAGAGAGUAAAAAGUAGUUGGUUUCAGAAUACAUUUUAAUGGAAAUGGAAUAGCAGACUGAUGAUUGGAUAAUGGGAAUUGAGGGAAAUCAAGGAAUCCAGAAUGACUUGUAAAUUUUUGUUCUAAGAAAUUGAGUGGAUAAUGAUGGCAUUUACUUAAAUAGCAAAUACUUGUGGAGGUAAAUUCUGGAUAUGUGGGGCAACCAAGGGUUUUGUUGAUGCCAUGUAAACUUUGGCAUGCCAAUUAGAUACGAAGAGAUACUGAGUGGAAAGCUGGAUACUCAGGGGACCACAGUCUUCUGUUUCCUGGAUUUCAGGUCCCUUUUAAACUGAAGCAUAGUGAGAACAAGUGUAAAGCACAACACAGACGGAAGAUUGCACCUUAGCUCACUGCCCCGUGCACCCCGGUUACACCGUCUAAGAAAACACUCUGGAUUCAAUCCUUGGAAAAUUUGUCUCCAUGAGGUCAUACAGCUGCUUGAGGUUGCUCGGAGAGUAAGAAGCAGAAUGAGAACUAGAACAGAAGCUCACUUUGGCCUGAAGGCUCAUGUGCUGAGCAUCUUCCCUUGUCUGUCUCCACCCCUAGCCUGGUGCCCAGCAUGUAGAAGACCUUCAUCCUAGAUGCAAUGGGAUUAAACUUGGAGAAAAUGGGAUUAAACUUGGACAAACACUACCUAUUUGGACUUGUGAUGAUGGCUUUCAAACUUCUUAAAGCAAUGAAGUAUUUUUUCCAGAAGAAACCUUACACAAGAAGCCCAGCACACUGAGUCAAGCAUAUGUAGGUGGAAGAUAUCUGGUUGAGACCAAGUAGAGAUAAACCUGUAGAUUCAACUGUGCCACCACAGUGAAUUCUAAGAAUCCACUGACUGUGAUCUGUAAGCUCCUACUCCACAGGAGGUCAGGGCACACAGCUUGAAACCGGAAGGCAGAAGAGUGACAGGGAAGGGUCAUGGACUCUGAAAUUAGAGCUAUCUGUGUUUUAAUACUAGUUCCAAUAGGCACAUGGUCUUGGAUAAAUGGUUUAAAUUAUCUGAGUCUCAAUUUCUUUCUCUGCAAAAAGGGAUGAUUAGUACAUAUGUAAUAGGGUUUUUAUAGAAAAUUGUAUAACUUGUUAAACACACAUGUACUAAGUGCUUGGUGCCCAGUAUGCACUGAAUAAAUGCUAGCUCCUUGCCUUUCAUCUCUAUGACCCUUCCCAAAUCUCUCAGCCCCAUAUUGCUUCAUGUAGUGUGUGUAUAUUUGGGAAAAUUUGUGUGCAUAUUUACAGAUGGGAUCCUACUCUUCUAUUGACAGACUGUCUUUUCAGAUGUGCCUUACUUUCAUUGCAUUGGUUUUUCAACUGAAAGUGAACAUAAAGGUUUUAAGCAUGCCUAGGUCUUAUCUUUUUGGUCAAAUAUCUAACACCCUCAAUAACAGUUGUAAAUCAUUCUUUUGUAAUUUGAUCAUUCAUUUUUAUAAAGUAAAACACAACUGCCCACUGUAAAAAUAGACUUCAUUUGCUCUUUUCUUCCAGUGCAGCAAAUGACAGACACUUUAAGAACACACAUUUAACUUCAGCAAACAAAUCAUGUAUAUUUUAGACAUAACUGUCAAGUAUAGAAAUGAUACCAUCCAACUUACCAAACUAUCACAUAAGAAUGCCCAAUAGCAGACAUUAGGAUGGGGCAAAACUGAAAGAAGGAUUGACUUCAUCAAACCCUUGAUGACAUACAAAAUGGAAACCAUUCAAGUUCAACUGAAGAAAACGAUAUCCCACAAGAUCUAGGGGUAAAAAGCAGACAAAGUUUAGGAAUGAAUUUAAACUACUGACUUACGUGUUGUCAGGAGUCUAUUUCUAUUCCUCAAUUUUACUCCUUUUUGU